GUGGGGAAUAUUGCACAAUGGGGGAAACCCUGAUGCAGCAACGCCGCGUGAGGGAAGAAGGUUUUCGGAUUGUAAACCUCUGUCCCUGGUGACGAAGACAGUGACGGUAACCAGGGAGGAAGCCACGGCUAACUACGUGCCAGCAGCCGCGGUAAUACGUAGGUGGCAAGCGUUGUCCGGAUUUACUGGGUAUAAAGGGAGCGCAGGCGGGGAAGCAAGUCAGCGGUGAAAUACAUGGGCUUAACCCAUGAACUGCCGUUGAAACUGUUUUUCUUGAGUGAAGUAGAGGCAGGCGGAAUUCCGAGUGUAGCGGUGAAAUGCGUAGAUAUUCGGAGGAACACCAGUGGCGAAGGCGGCCUGCUGGGCUUUUACUGACGCUGAGGCUCGAAAGCGUGGGGAGCAAACAGGAUUAGAAACCCUAGUAGUCC
RNAcentral lists this ribosomal RNA (428 nucleotides) under uncultured bacterium. Its description in RNAcentral is "bacterial SSU rRNA". It matches the Rfam family "Bacterial small subunit ribosomal RNA", at positions 354 to 796 of the family's 1533-position model. The record is from RNAcentral.